GUUACGUGUGGACGUGGCCUUAGAAUAAUAAUCUGAGCCCGUCGGCGGCAAAAACUGAGCUUUCAGUGGACGGAAAUUGAAGGUGCGCAAUUGCCCAUUAACAUUACAUCGCAGCUUGUUUUGUCUUGCGUAAUACUGCACCGAUUUCAAAGAUUUGUUAUUUCCAGCAGUUACUUGGACACAAAAACGUGAAGAAAGGGUCCAGGUAAAAAAUAAAAACUGAAAUGACCCUUUUAAGAGGAUUUUAAAAUAUGAUCGUAUUUAGCAGAAUUAAUAGGUAUGUAGAACAGGGCUGUAGCAGUUAUUUUUAAGUAUUUGGACUGUGUUUUAGUUGUUAAUAUCCUGAUUAGUUUAAUUUAUUUUUUUGGACCACUGCAUCCUGAAGCCAUAGGUGUUUUUACAUUAGGUGCCAUAGACAGUGUAAACUGAACCGUCUGCACUAUAAGAGGUUUGCAUCCGGUGUCUUUCACGACGCCGAGCAAGUCUUCGUUGUCUGAAUCGUUCCUUAGAACGCAGUACAGGUCAAAAAGGGAGCUGGAACGGCGAGAUGAGCCCUCAUCUUCAGAGAAAGACAGCCGAGAUGCAAAGCCGUAGCUUUUCUGGAUUUUGGUCUUCAUACUUGAUGGCAGUUUUUUUUUUUUUUUGUUUCCUGGCUCUCAUUUUUGACGUGCCUGCCCCUUAAAGCUGCUAUUGACUUUAAUCUUAACACACACACUAUGUAUGAUUUGUGUGUGCGUGUGUAUGAAUAGUAAUGAUGUAUGGGCUGUAUCAGUGAAAAUAAGUUCCUAUUUAUAUGGGAUGGGGGGAAAAAAUUGCCACCACUC
Long non-coding RNA from Sander lucioperca (pikeperch), 824 nucleotides. RefSeq lists it as uncharacterized. The transcript is spliced from 2 exons. The record is from RefSeq and is a predicted model, not a curated record. Lineage: Eukaryota; Metazoa; Chordata; Actinopteri; Perciformes; Percidae.